This 301-nucleotide ribosomal RNA is filed under the name uncultured bacterium. Its description in RNAcentral is "partial 16S ribosomal RNA". It matches the Rfam family "Bacterial small subunit ribosomal RNA", at positions 509 to 809 of the family's 1533-position model. The record is from RNAcentral.
CAGUAGCCGCGGGAAUACGUAGGUGGCAAGCGUUGUCCGGAAUUAUUGGGCGUAAAGGGCUCGCAGGCGGUUUCUUAAGUCUGAUGUGAAAGCCCCCGGCUCAACCGGGGAGGGUCAUUGGAAACUGGGAAACUUGAGUGCAGAAGAGGAGAGUGGAAUUCCACGUGUAGCGGUGAAAUGCGUAGAGAUGUGGAGGAACACCAGUGGCGAAGGCGACUCUCUGGUCUGUAACUGACGCUGAGGAGCGAAAGCGUGGGGAGCGAACAGGAUUAGAUACCCCAGUAGUCCCUGUCUCUUAUCA